This 774-nucleotide ribosomal RNA is filed under the name uncultured Neocallimastigales. RNAcentral's name for it is "partial large subunit ribosomal RNA". It matches the Rfam family "Eukaryotic large subunit ribosomal RNA", at positions 18 to 646 of the family's 3401-position model. The record is from RNAcentral. Lineage: Eukaryota; Fungi; Neocallimastigomycota; Neocallimastigomycetes; Neocallimastigales.
UCAGACGAUGCGUCAUGCAUAUCAAUAAGCGGAGGAAAAGAAACUAACAAGGAUUCCCCUAGUAACGGCGAGUGAAGCGGGAAGAGCUCAAAUUUGAAAUCUUAAAGGGUUUCCCUUUACGAAUUGUAGUUUAAAGAAGUGUUUUCUGUUGAGGUUUUGGUAAAAGUUCUUUGGAAUAGGACAUCAUAGAGGGCGAGAAUCCCGUAUUUGACCUUUACUUUCAACUUUGUGAUACACUUUCAAAGAGUCGGAUUGUUUGGGAAUGCAGUCCAAAAUGGGUGGUAAAUUUCAUCUAAAGCUAAAUAUUGGCGAGAGACCGAUAGCGAACAAGUACCGUGAGGGAAAGAUGAAAAGAACUUUGAAAAGAGAGUUAAACAGUACGUGAAAUUGUCAAAAGGGAAGCGUUUGACACCAGUGUUGUUUUUCUGAAAAUCAAUUAAAGAACUGUUUAUGCUAAGCUGUUUAGACUUUAUCAGCUAUCUGUUUAGUUUUGAGCUUUUCUUUAAUGCACUUUUCAGUUAGCAAGUCAACAUCAACUUCUUUUGCUGUAAAAAAGCUUGAGGAAGGUGGCUUGAGAUUCGUCUUAAGUGUUUAUAGCCUCUUGCCUAUGCAGUCGGAGAGAUUGAGGUCUGCAGCGUAGAUCCUUCGGGGCUAAAUGCAUUUGUGCUAAGUUAUAGCAUUUUAUAGACAACUUGUUGACUAUGAUUUGUCUUGUAGCUUACUCGCUUAUGUUAUUUUACCUACGCUUAGGAUGUUGACACACGCGCGUGCUCG